Small nucleolar RNA from Hyla sarda, 97 nucleotides. RefSeq annotates it as small nucleolar RNA U13. Lineage: Eukaryota; Metazoa; Chordata; Amphibia; Anura; Hylidae. The transcript has a single exon. The record is from RefSeq and is a predicted model, not a curated record.
AUCUUUCUGGUUCAGUACUAUGAUGAAUGGGUGAGCACACAGCUGUGUGAUAUGUGUGACCUACCUGUUACGACUGAUGCACAUUACCCUUCUGAGC